Molecule: ribosomal RNA, 250 nt
Filed under: uncultured bacterium
Lineage: Bacteria
Description: partial 16S ribosomal RNA
Rfam family: Bacterial small subunit ribosomal RNA
Source: RNAcentral
UACUGAGGGUGCAAGCGUUGUUCGGAAUUACUGGGCGUAAAGCGCACGCAGGCUGUCAGAUAAGUCGGAUGUGAAAGCCCCUUGCUCAACGAGGGAAUUGCGUUCGAAACUGUUUGGCUUGAGUUCGAGAGAGGGAAGUGGAAUUCCAGGUGUAGAGGUGAAAUUCGUUGAUAUCUGGAGGAACACCGGCGGCGAAGGCGGCUUCCUGGCUCGAUACUGACGCUGAGGUGCGAAAGCGUGGGGAGCAAAC